AUUGAACGCUGGCGGCAUGCUUUACACAUGCAAGUCGAACGGCAGCGCGGGCUUCGGCCUGGCGGCGAGUGGCGAACGGGUGAGUAAUGCAUCGGAACGUGCCCAGUAGUGGGGGAUAGCCCGGCGAAAGCCGGAUUAAUACCGCAUACGACCUGAGGGUGAAAGCGGGGGACCGAAAGGCCUCGCGCUAUUGGAGCGGCCGAUGUCGGAUUAGCUAGUUGGUGGGGUAAAGGCUUACCAAGGCGACGAUCCGUAGCUGGUCUGAGAGGACGACCAGCCACACUGGGACUGAGACACGGCCCAGACUCCUACGGGAGGCAGCAGUGGGGAAUUUUGGACAAAGGGCGCAACCCUGAUCCAGCCAUGCCGCGUGCGGGAAGAAGGCCUUCGGGUUGUAAACCGCUUUUGUUCGGGAAGAAAUCCUCUGGGCUAAUACCCCGGGGGGAUGACGGUACCGGAAGAAUAAGCACCGGCUAACUACGUG
This 484-nucleotide ribosomal RNA is filed under the name uncultured bacterium. RNAcentral's name for it is "partial 16S ribosomal RNA". It matches the Rfam family "Bacterial small subunit ribosomal RNA", at positions 29 to 507 of the family's 1533-position model. The record is from RNAcentral.